GUUCGAACCUGUUGGAAGAAGCAGCGUGCCUGGACUAUCCCCUGCUUAAGAACCAGAACAGCACAGCAGCGGGUUGUUAUUGUGUCAAGCCAGGAUAGGCUGCAGGAUAAGCCAGUGGUGUGUAAUUUGAUUUGUCCAACGUUCAACAUUAGCUUCAUUUAGGGUUAACGAUCUUCCACCACAUCCAAGUGGUGAAACUAAUGACACACUGGAAAUGGAGAGACAGGAGCUUCUUAACGAGGUAAAGAAGAACAACCGUAGGGUGAUUCAAGAAAAAAUGGCCAAAACAUUCUCCUAUCGAAGGCUUGAGGUUGUGAGUGGUAGUCCAGGAGCCGAUGACUGCAAAGAGAGAUGGCCUGCUUUUUUUGUGAAGCUGAGGUCAAGGAGGAAUUUAGAAGAAUAACAACAGUUUCCCUGGAGCAGAGGUUCAUGUUUAAACUUGAGCACUACACACCAAAACUUACUGCCCUGAUGAAGGCCAAGGGAGGUGUCAUGGGGACCAAGCUGAGGCCCAUCCUGGACAAACUGAGCCAGGUCUUGAAACCAGCAGCUCGGAGGAGGACAGUACACAGCCCAGCAGUAUAACACAUGAGGUGUGCGUCCAGGACGAGAUCUUUGCGUCCCGCAAUAGCGACAUUUCCUGGACAAGCAGAGCAGAAGAUCGUGCAGGAGGCAGACUGCCAGCACGACAUAUCCUGAGGACACCUCCAGGACCAACGAGGCUGUGCAGGGGACAUUCUUUCUGCCUUCAAGGCAUUCAUGCCAAGACGAGUAGAAAGAAUCAUUGUCACUAUGACAAACCUAGAAGGGAGAAAGCAGUUUUCCAGCAGCUGGGUGGAACUGACCUCCAUAGAAUUUGAUGCCUUCCUCGGCGUCUGCAUUCUCGCAGGCGUCUUCAAAUGAAAAGGAGAGUCAAUCGCUAGCCUUUGGGACUUGAACGUUGGGAGACCAAUCUUCCCAGCGGUCAUGAACAGGGUGCGGUUCGGGCAGCUGACAUCGGCCCUCAGAUUUGACCACAAAAGAUCACGGCAAGCAAGAAGGACGAUGGACAGGCUUGCACCCAUCAGAGACAUCUGGGACCUGUGGUCAGCAAAUCUCCCUGUCAUGUAUAAUCUCGGCCACGACUUGACAAUGGACGAGCGCCAGGUACCAUUCAAAGAUGCGUUCUUGCAGGACGCUGCUCCUUCAGGCAAUAUAUGCCUCGCAAGCCCGGGAGGUACGGACUGAAACUCUGGGUGCUGUGCGACGCCAGGACGAGCUACUGCCGGCGAGUGAAGUUGUACACGUGGAAGCCUCCGGGGGAGGCACGGGAAGUCGACGUGGCGAAAAAUGUGGUGCUGGAACUGUCUGAGGGGCUGAGGGGGCACAACAUUACUUUUGAUAAUUUCUUUACCUCCUUCAGUCUGGGACAGGAGCUCCUCCAGCGUCACCUUACGAUGGUAGGCACUGUGCGCCGAAAUCGUCCAGAGCUGCCGCCUGCUCUGCUAACAACUAGGGGCAGGCGGCUACACUCCUCCAAAUUUGCAUUUUCCCACAAUACGACACUCGUGACUUACAUCCCCAAAAACAACAAAAACAUGCUUCUAAUGAGCACGUUCCACAAUAAGCCAAACAUCACCCAACGGCAAGACAGAAAGCUGGAAAUCAUAAUUGAUUAUAACAAAACUAAGAGGGGGGGGGGG
Molecule: long non-coding RNA, 1682 nt
Organism: Brienomyrus brachyistius
Lineage: Eukaryota; Metazoa; Chordata; Actinopteri; Osteoglossiformes; Mormyridae
Exons: 6
Source: RefSeq, a predicted model, not a curated record